Molecule: transfer RNA, 73 nt
Filed under: Candidatus Parcubacteria bacterium
Lineage: Bacteria; Candidatus Parcubacteria
Description: tRNA-His
Rfam family: tRNA
About the family: Transfer RNA (tRNA) molecules are approximately 80 nucleotides in length.
Source: RNAcentral
GAGAUCGUGGUGAAAUGGCAUCAUAGCAGGUUGUGGCCCUGUUGUUGGGGGUUCAAAUCCCCCCGAUCUCCCA